RNAcentral lists this long non-coding RNA (1240 nucleotides) under Ovis aries (sheep). RNAcentral describes it as "lncRNA (ENSOARG00000026647.1)". The record is from RNAcentral. Lineage: Eukaryota; Metazoa; Chordata; Mammalia; Artiodactyla; Bovidae.
AGUCCAUUCUGAAGGAGAUCAGCCCUGGGAUUUCUUUGGAAGGAAUGAUGCUAAAGCUGAAACUCCAGUACUUUAGCCACCUCAUGCGAAGAGUUGACUAUUUGGAAAAGACUCUGAUGCUGGGAGGGAUUGGGGGCAGGAGGAGAAGGGGACGACUGAGGAUGAGAUGGCUGGAUGGCAUCACCGAUUCGAUGGACAUGAGUUUGGAUAAACUCCGGGAGUUGGUGAUGCACAGGGAGGCCUGGCGUGCGGCGAUGCAUGGGGUCACAGAGUUGGACACUACUGAGUGACUGAACUGAACUGACUGAAGUUAAACAACCAUUGUAGCAGAAAGAGGACUGAAAUCCAGCACUCUUUCAAUGAUACCAUGCCGUAUGCAAAGAACCUUUUUCCCCCUUUUUAUGAACUUAGCCAAUAAUGUUGGUUUAUAGUCUCACCACAGCAGUGGCCUUACCACAGCUGUGUAGCCAGCGACGCACUUUUGAUCAUUAAGAGACCCACAGACUAACACAAGUGCCAGUGCUGCUUAGGCUCUGCUCUGAGCAGUUCAGUGGAGCUUGGUAAGCUUUGACCCCUCCAAGGCUCCAGUACAUAAGAUGCUCUUGGAGCAUCUUUCAACACUGCUUGUUUUCAGGUGCUUCCACUGGGAUGGCACUUACAGGCUGGGUGAUCUAAGAGACAGGAACCUCUCUUAAAUGACCAUGGUCCUGUCCCUGAAGCCCUGUGCCCUCCUUCCCGGGCCCUCUACUCAGGGAAUUUCCAUCAUGGCAUGGUAUCACCCCUGGGGAUGCUCUCUCCUCAGGCAGUCCUGCCCCUCUCUGGGCUCUGCAUACAACAUCACUCUUGUGGUUUACUGACCAGUGCAAUCCAGGCCUGUCCCAAACCCACCUCUCCACAUGGGCGGGCCCAACAAGUGGAUAUCAAGUGUAAGGUGGUAAAACUAAGAAACCUCACGGCGGCCAGGACUAAGCCGAGUUCUGCAAUCCACUUUCACCAGAGGGUCUUAACAGGAGCUGGUUUCACCACUGGGGCUUCCCUGGUGGCUCAGAGGUUAAAGCGUCUGCCUGGCAUGCAGAUUCUUUACCACUUGAGUAGUACGUGGAACCAAAAAACCAGGUUGGGGGACCUGGUGGGUUUAAGUGUGGGCAUGGCAGAGGGCCUCACAGUUCCUGUUGGGGCCAAUCUGAAAACAGGCAAUGAUUCAACACAUAGAUUUCCUGGACACAAGGGAGUAGAAUGA